Molecule: ribosomal RNA, 433 nt
Filed under: uncultured bacterium
Lineage: Bacteria
Description: partial 16S ribosomal RNA
Rfam family: Bacterial small subunit ribosomal RNA
Source: RNAcentral
AACGAACGCUGGCGGCAUGCCUAACACAUGCAAGUCGAACGAGACCUUCGGGUCUAGUGGCGCACGGGUGCGUAACGCGUGGGAACCUGCCCUUAGGUUCGGAAUAACUCCCCGAAAGGGGUGCUAAUACCGGAUAAUGUCUUCGGACCAAAGAUUGAUCGCCUUUGGAUGGGCCCGCGUUGGAUUAGCUAGUUGGUAGGGUAAAAGCCUACCAAGGCGACGAUCCAUAGCUGGUCUGAGAGGAUGAUCAGCCACACUGGGACUGAGACACGGCCCAGACUCCUACGGGAGGCAGCAGUGGGGAAUAUUGGAAAAUGGGCGAAGGCCUGAACCAGCAAUGCCGCGUGAGUGAUGAAGGCCUUAGGGUUGUAAAGCUCUUUUACCCGGGAUGAUAAUGACAGUACCGGGAGAAUAAGCUCCGGCUAACUCCGUG